AUUGAACGCUGGCGGCAGGCCUAACACAUGCAAGUCGAGCGGAUGACGGGAGCUUGCUCCUUGAUUCAGCGGCGGACGGGUGAGUAAUGCCUAGGAAUCUGCCUGGUAGUGGGGGACAACGUUUCGAAAGGAACGCUAAUACCGCAUACGUCCUACGGGUGAAAGCCGGGGACCUUCGGGUCUUUCGCUAUUAGAUGAGCCUAGGUCGGAUUAGCUUGUUGGUGAGGUAAGGGCUCACCAAGGCGACGAUCCGUAACUGGUCUGAGAGGAUGAUCAGUCACACUGGAACUGAGACACGGUCCAGACUCCUACGGGAGGCAGCAGUGGGGAAUAUUGGACAAUGGGCGAAAGCCUGAUCCAGCCAUGCCGCGUGUGUGAAGAAGGUCUUCGGAUUGUAAAGCACUUUAAGUUGGGAGGAAGGGUUGUAGAUUAAUACUCUGCAAUUUUGACGUUACCGACAGAAUAAGCACCGGCUAACUCCGUG
RNAcentral lists this ribosomal RNA (484 nucleotides) under uncultured bacterium. RNAcentral's name for it is "partial 16S ribosomal RNA". It matches the Rfam family "Bacterial small subunit ribosomal RNA", at positions 30 to 507 of the family's 1533-position model. The record is from RNAcentral.